CGUAAUAGCUCACUAGUCGAGAGGUCCUGCGCCGAAAAUGUCCGGGGCUGAAACACACUACCGAAGCUUAGGAAUUGAUGAAUGUCAAUUGGUAGAGGAGCAUUCUUAACGGGGCGAAGCUGUACCGGAAGGAGCAGUGGACUGUUAAGAAGAGAGAAUGCCGGAAUGAGUAGCGAGAGGAAGGUGAGAAUCCUUCCGGCCGAAUAUCUAAGGUUUCCAGAGUAAAGCUGAUCUGCUCUGGGUAAGUCGGGGCCUAAGGCGAGGUCGAAAGACGUAGUCGAUGGAUAACAGGUAAAGAUUCCUGUACUAUAUCAUAACAGAACUGUGGGGACGCAGACAGAGAGCAUAAGCCGGGAAUGGAAAAACCGGUACAAGCGAGGUAGGAGUGCAUCAGGCAAAUCCGGUGCACAAUCUGAAGACGUGAUGUGGGGCGUAAAGCCGGAAGUAUGUGAGCUGGCUGCCAAGAAAAGCCGCUAUUGUUUAUGAUAUACCCGUACCGUAAACCGACACAGGUGGAUGAGGAGAGAAUCCUAAGGCCGACGGGAGAAGCAUUGUUAAGGAACUCGGCAAAAUGACUCCGUAACUUCGGGAGAAGGAGUGCCAUGUAAAAGUGGCCGCAGAGAAUUGGCCCAAGCAACUGUUUAGCAAAAACACAGGUCUAUGCAAAACCGAAAGGUGAGGUAUAUGGGCUGACGCCUGCCCGGUGCUGGAAGGUUAAGGGGAGAGGUUAGCCGUAAGGCGAAGCUUUGAACUUAAGCCCCAGUAAACGGCGGCCNNNNNNNNNNNNNNNNNNNNNNNNNNNNNNNNNNNNNNNNNNNNNNNNNCUUGUCGGGUAAGUUCCGACCCGCACGAAAGGCGUAAUGAUUUGGGCACUGUCUCAACAAUGCACCCGGUGAAAUUGAAAUACCAGUGAAGAUGCUGGUUACCUGCGCCAGGACGGAAAGACCCCAUGGAGCUUUACUCCAGCUUGAUACUGGGAUUCGAUAUUGCAUGUACAGGAUAGGUGGGAGACUGAGAACUGAUGACGCCAGUUGUCAGGGAGUCAUUGUUGGGAUACCACCCUUGUAGUAUUGGAUUUCUAACCAGCAGCCGUGAUCCGGCUGGGGGACAAUGUCAGGUGGGGAGUUUGACUGGGGCGGUCGCCUCCGAAAGGGUAUCGGAGGCGCUCAAAGGUUCCCUCAGAAUGGUUGGAAAUCAUUCGCAGAGGGCAAAGGCAGAAGGGAGCUUGACUGCGACACCGACGGGUGGAGCAGGUACGAAAGUAGGACUUAGUGAUCCGGUGGUUCAAAGUGGGAUUGCCAUCGCUCAACGGAUAAAAGCUACCCUGGGGAUAACAGGCUUAUCUCCCCCAAGAGUCCACAUCGACGGAGUGGUUUGGCACCUCGAUGUCGGCUCAUCGCAUCCUGGGGCUGUAGUUGGUCCCAAGGGUUGGGCUGUUCGCCCAUUAAAGCGGUACGCGAGCUGGGUUCAGAACGUCGUGAGACAGUUCG
RNAcentral lists this ribosomal RNA (1490 nucleotides) under Acinetobacter baumannii. RNAcentral describes it as "partial 23S ribosomal RNA". It matches the Rfam family "Bacterial large subunit ribosomal RNA", at positions 1133 to 2633 of the family's 2925-position model. Lineage: Bacteria; Pseudomonadati; Pseudomonadota; Gammaproteobacteria; Moraxellales; Moraxellaceae. The record is from RNAcentral.